Molecule: ribosomal RNA, 2680 nt
Filed under: Triticum aestivum (bread wheat)
Lineage: Eukaryota; Viridiplantae; Streptophyta; Magnoliopsida; Poales; Poaceae
Description: partial small subunit ribosomal RNA
Source: RNAcentral
CGUUUUCACGUUUUGGGGGACUAUUAGGGGGGAGCGGAAAUGGCGGGCGCGACAGGGGUUACCGCUAAGGCCUCCUCGACGCGGCGAUGACCGACGGCUAGGAGGAGCGGCGGCGGCCGAAGGAGAAGGUCGAGGAGCAGGACGGGUUUAGGAAAGGCGGGAGGGUGAUGCUGCGCGAGCCUUAGGUCUCCAAACGCGGCCACCUCUUCCACCAGCUCCGGAUGCUCCACGAGAGGUUCCUCACCGAACGACUUUGUUUACUGGCCAGUUGACAACUAUAAUAUUUCUAGGCAAUACGCAUACUCGACAACUGUUUAGGUCAAACCUUCGCCCUGAUACUAGAAAAACCAGACCUAGUAGUAUGCCUAUAGAAGCUCUCUCAGUUUCUUGUUAUAGUUUUUCUUGUGAAGGACUUUUAUCUAGAUGGAAACAAUUUUCUAAGAAAUUAAGUAAGUUGGUCAGUACGGAAGUUACAUUAGUGUGCACUGAGUAACUACAGACGAUAACGACUUCUAAUGGGCAACGAGUAUGUCCAAAUAAGUUUCCCCUCAGGAGCGACGCGAGUUAAAAAACUCAUGACCUUCGUUUAACUGUGAGCUGACCUACCGCACCGGUUGUGACGAUACCAUCUUGAACCACUACACGUUGACCGCCCCAUAAAACGUCUUUUUUCCAAGAGAGUUGUCGGUAAAAAGGCGUUACCAUAUGGUCGAGAACAACGUAUAGGACGAUUGACGUCUUCAGGUAGGACAAUAUACUCCAUGGGUCCACUCGAUUGACACCUAAGACAACAGUUGACCCACCGUAGUAGUUAACAACCAAAUGGAGCCUAGAACAUGAUAAGUUUCCUCUGUGACCCUGGGGUCAAGUAACCCUUCUCAUCGGUAGUAUUCCAGUUCCGAUAGAAAAAGAGUUCGUGACCCCUCGCACGCCGAGGUAAGGAAGCGGUUCGACGGGUUCUCAUAAGCUCGAUACGUAGAAAACGUAAACAGGAUACCUUUCUUCUCCUUAGGGUCUAGACCACCUUAAGUAAUCCUCACCUUAGCCGAGGACGUGAACAAAAGAACUUCCCCGGUCCACGGUUCGGACAACAUAUGGUACCUUGAAAAUCAUUCAGGCUCAAGUGUCUCUAUUACCUCCUCGUAUUCGUGGUUCUUGAGGUCGUCGAUUCUUCACUGUGUAGAAACCUAGAACCAACACUACGAUCUCCAGUAAGUGCGCGACCCUUUCUUUAUUACUAUACCAUAACACAUUAUCGACGUCCAGCGGGACCACAUCUUAAUUCAUUUUUCUCUGUUUAAAACUCCUUCCGGGUCCUGGUUGAUGAGUCACGACGACCACUUUCACGAUGACCCUUAAACCUUUUAAAUCAUCUCCAUCGUUCACGACGUCGACGGAAUUUUCUACUGUCCGACUGGAAACAAACCAACCUACCUCUUAAUGUCUUCUUUUAAACACGGAAGAUGGAACGGUGACUAAUGGUACCUCGGACACCAGGAUCUCCAAAACUUCUACUGUUACUAUUCGGACUUCAUAAGUAACAGGCAAAGGUUUCUUUACGUUGUAUGCUCCGUAACUUUCGGCUGUUUUUCUUAUUAGAAUAUCUCUGAGAGGUUCCUGUCCUGUGAGGACUACGGAGGGUCGAUCACCGAUCCAUAUUACCGGGCCUACUUUAAGACCUCUAUUUGUUCACCCAGAGAGUCUAAUAGUUUCUACCUCUGUGAUCUCUUUAAGGAAUGAAAUGAAGUUUCCAUGGUCUAGAACAUGGGCUUCUUUGUUUAUUCCUUACCAAUUCGCCAUGGUUUCCAUAGGCGAGCCGUCCCUUUUCAAAUUUUCUCUCCCAAGUCUUGUCACCGAAGUCAAAGUCUCUAAUGAAUUGACUGGGUUCCUAACCAGGUCGAAACGACUACGAACGUACGUAAAGUACCCCUUGUUAUACCAAGUUCUCAUAGGUUAGUCGAGUCUUCUGAGGUUUCCUGCUUCGAGGAUUUCUGUUCUGGUUGUUUGCAGCGGCAGGCUUCGAAUCGUGCUGUGAGAAACCAGUUGGACUUAGGUCGCGCCUAGGACUUGGGUCUCUACGAGCAGUCACCCUCUAUCUCCUGAGUCUAAGUCUGACUGCUUAGCAUUGGGCUGUAACUCCAAUUUGAGCCGAUUUAUAGAAUCAACUCGCUACCCCGAUUUAAUCGAAUCACGGACUGUUUCGUAUCGGUCAGACUUUUUACGACCUAGUAUGAGGGAGGCAAGGUUUUAUUAACAGAAAGAUCGGUAGAGUUUACCUGAUGUUGUAUGCCUACAUACAUCUGUACAAAAUUUCACAUCUAAGUGAGUAAAACGAGGCAUACAUCAGUGAACAACUUUAGAGAUCUUUCUGUUAAUAAAGCCUUGCCUCCCUCAUAUAGACUAGAAAUAACGACAUAUAAAAACCGUACCUAGAUAGGUAGACGAACCUUCGUCCGUAUCCGGAGAGUCUAAGAGUUCCUUACAUAACAAUCUCAAGAAGUAAAAAACAAGCCGCCAAUACUUCAACCCCCACCUUCUCCACUUACCUGCUGGUUGUUGUGGAGUGAUGGGGGUGUUUGAGGUCUGUACAUAUCAUUCCUACUCAAUGUAGUGUUCGGACACAACCUUUGUGACAUAAUAUAUAUAUAACUUAUUUAUCCUAAGGGGCAAAUCCAAGGUG